This 497-nucleotide ribosomal RNA is filed under the name uncultured bacterium. Its description in RNAcentral is "partial 16S ribosomal RNA". It matches the Rfam family "Bacterial small subunit ribosomal RNA", at positions 28 to 507 of the family's 1533-position model. The record is from RNAcentral.
GAUGAACGCUGGCGGCGUGCCUAAUACAUGCAAGUCGAGCGAACAGACGAGGAGCUUGCUCCUCUGACGUUAGCGGCGGACGGGUGAGUAACACGUGGACAACCUACCUAUAAGACUGGGAUAACUUCGGGAAACCGGAGCUAAUACCGGAUAAUAUAUUGAACCGCAUGGUUCAAUAGUGAAAGACGGUUUUGCUGUCACUUAUAGAUGGAUCCGCGCCGCAUUAGCUAGUUGGUAAGGUAACGGCUUACCAAGGCAACGAUUCGUAGCCGACCUGAGAGGGUGAUCGGCCACACUGGAACUGAGACACGGUCCAGACUCCUACGGGAGGCAGCAGUAGGGAAUCUUCCGCAAUUGGCGAAAGCCUGACGGAGCAACGCCGCGUGAGUGAUGAAGGUCUUCGGAUCGUAAAACUCUGUUAUUAGGGAAGAACAAAUGUGUAAGUAACUAUGCACGUCUUGACGGUACCUAAUCAGAAAGCCACGGCUAACUACGUG